AUGAAGUCGGAAUUGCUGUAAUCGCGGAUCAGCAUGCCGCGGUGAAUACGUUCCCGGGCCUUGUACACACCGCCCGUCACACCAUGGGAGCCGGUAAUGCCCGAAGUCAGUAGUCCAACCUCGUGAGGACGCUGCCGAAGGUAGGAUUGGCGACUGGGGUGAAGUCGUAACAAGGUACC
Molecule: ribosomal RNA, 179 nt
Filed under: uncultured bacterium
Lineage: Bacteria
Description: partial 16S ribosomal RNA
Rfam family: Bacterial small subunit ribosomal RNA
Source: RNAcentral